This is a long non-coding RNA of Brassica napus (rape), 1451 nucleotides long. RefSeq lists it as uncharacterized. Lineage: Eukaryota; Viridiplantae; Streptophyta; Magnoliopsida; Brassicales; Brassicaceae. The transcript is spliced from 4 exons. The record is from RefSeq and is a predicted model, not a curated record.
UCCAACUAAUCCAACUAAUUACUCCGGGAAAAAAACGUAUAUGCUAAAAGCUCAACUACUUUUUUGCUUUCUCCUAAACUUCUCCGUCGCCCCUUCACUGUCUCUCUCUUUGACACAUGCAAACUGAUGUUGCCUCUCUCUUUGAUCUGAUCUCCGUCUCGAUUAUGACUCAAAAAACAGAUCAAAUACAAAAUCGGAGGAAUCCUAAUCCAUAAUCAUCAGAUUGUUCAUCGAUUUAUUCAAAAAAGGUUAGGAUGUUUAUAUUCUUUUUAUUUAAUUGACAUUGUGAACGAUUAGGUGUUUUUAAUCAUAAAAAUUGUUCAAAUCUUUUUUAGAUCUGGCAUCUCUAAUAGUAGAUUGGCCAUCUCCGUUAAAAUCUUUGAAGAUUAGCAUGUAAUAGAUAAAGUCAGUGUUAAUUUGGAAUCUUUGUGUACAUCGAAACUCAAUUAUAUGAUGACCAGAUAUUGGAAUCAUUGCAAGGUAACGUAAAGAAGAAAAAGGAGAUGAUUUGAUUAAACGCUUUCUAUCGAAUUAUGACAGAAGCAAAGUUGGGUUUCUAUUUCUCUUAAACGAUUUCUGUUUGGUAGGUUCUUUUUUUUCUAGUUUCUAUUUUGAAUAUUCAUUGGUUGUUCUGUCACUUCUAUAACUCACAAAAGAAAAAGGCAACUUUGAUUAUUUAUAGUUGAUAAUGUUUUUGUUUUUUUUACUUGUGUUCCAGAGAUGAUCCUAACGAAGCAUUAUUCUCUAUUCAUAAUUUUACUAAGAGCAUAAGCAGCGGGUGAUAGUUCAGGUUUACAUCUCUUAAAACUCUUUCUUUGUUCUUUUGAAAUUAUUAUGUGUUUACUAAAAGCAUGUCUUAUCCUUUACACGGUUGAUAUGAGACACAUAGUGAAGGAAAACAAAGACUGAAACAAACGAAUGAAAAGCAUAAACAACUUGUCUUGCAUAUCAGGUUAGUUGGUCGAUACUGCCCACCAGCCUGGGAUACGGUGAAGUUUUCAACAAAUCGCCAUUCUCCAAUUGGUAAGCCUCGCUGAACCCGGAACAUUUGACUUCGUUUGCAUGAAGCAUGAAUCUUACCACCCUGUGAGAAGGAGAAACAAAGUAUUAAAUUCUGUUUCCAGGAAUGAAGCAUCUUCACACGUACUCUCCACCCGGUUUUGAAAGGCUUGACAUCCUUAAGCAGGUAACUAAUUAUGGAGGAUCUCGAUGGCUUUUAAGGAGAUACGGAUGCAAUAUAAGACAUUUGGAAAUAUCUAUAUCUUGGAGAAAAAAAGACGUGGGCUGAAGGUUUAGUUUAGAAAAUUAAGGAAAUCAUAUAUUCUAUAUUGCAACCAAGAUUCAAGCGAGAAUUCAAACUCUCUAGAUUGCAACGGAGAAUCUGGUUAAUUUUGUUAAAUUACGAAAAGGACAUUAAUGAAGUCAGGAAAGAAAACGUUUUGUCCUGCUAA